UCUAUCAAUAUGAUAUGUGUUACAGGGAAUAUAUUCAGUGAGGGAAAGCAAUAAUCCCUGACAUUUGUCAUUCUCUGAAUUAAUUUUUUUCUUCCAUUCUACCGCCGAUCAGCUUAUGCCAAAAACAUAGUAUGGGUUUGGUAAUCACUGGUUAAUGAAAACUGUUGGUGUUUCUUUCAUUUCUUAAAUACAAAUUUAAUAAAAUAUAAGAGACAAAAUUAUUUCCAUAAUUAUUGAUAUAAAACGUUAACGCCAGAGAAUUACCGGACGAUAAGGUGAACGUACCCUACCCCACCGGUGGCACCCGUCACAAAUACUUGUAAAGGAAAGUCGAUUGUUCACCUGAAAAAAACACACGGAAAAAUAAAGGACAAGUCGAAAUAGAAAAUUGCAUCGAACAUCAUUUGUGUUACUGAUGCGUCAAAUGUCCAUCACAUAUCUACCGUAAAACGUUUGAAAGCAUCACUGAUGCAUGUGAGUUUGGUUUUACGCCGUUGUUAAAGGCUCGGGACACCAGCAAUGGGCUUCACACAUUCUACCCAUGUCGGAAAUCGAACCCGGGUCUUCGGCGUGACGAGCGAACGCUUUAACCACAAGGCUACCUGACCGCCCCCACUGAUGCCUUGAAUGUAACUUUGAUCAAACAACUUUUAGGCAGAGUUUUAUGACGCUCCUUGUUUGGCGAAAUCUUGGUAGAAAUAGGAGCAUGUUGGAUUGUACCUAAAACAUUGUGAAAUGAAGCCACCAGGCGCUCGAGCUGAGGCAAUAUUGCUCGACAUAAAGGGAAAGUAGGACAACUGCACUCACAAAGAUGAGUCUCGGAAUCACAUUGCCUUGUAAGACAUGCCACACGUGCACCUGAUCUUAUCUCAUCUGUUCCUGAUAAGAUUUAGUGUCAGUGCCAGAGGUAAAGUAUUUUUAUGAAUUCCUUACAAUGCUACAUUCACUUUCAAACAGUCAUGUUUCCUCCUCACGUCUACCAUAAAACAUGGUGACAAUUUUACUUAGGCUUUGAAUGUAAUCGAAUGCACUUGAAUGCAUUGAAUGUACUUAUCACUGAGGAGUCAUUCUGCAUUCGACUGUAGCCUUGUAGCCUAAGGCCAUUCUCAGAGCUGCUGUACUGGCGGUUCUGGUAUUCCUUCCUGAAAGUUCUUAAAAUAUGGAUUGUUAAACGGAUAAUACUCAAGUCCCAUGUGUUGAACGGGCCUUGUACAAAGCAUCGGUAUAUGGAAUAAGUAGUGAAUAAAAAAAGGCAUUUGUUUCAGAAGCAGAAUGGGAAAUUCUUCCUCCAGGACGGACAUAGGAGAAACAAGGAUGAUAAGAGAGAAAUGGUUUGACGAAUUCCCAGGUACGAGCUAUAAAACCUCAGCGCCUAAAAGCACCGUUUUGUGGCCAUCAUUUUCAACAUCAGCAGACUGAAGAACCUCGAGGUAAUACGGAGAGCUUCCGCCAUCUUCAGGUGCGUGUUGAACGGUGACACUAUAGGCUAUAGGACAGUGGUUCCGAAACAAUCUACCACUGACACACUCAGACAAGACUCGCAUCGCUGUCCAUGGCAGGGAACGUGAGUUAACGAUAACAGAUGUACAGUUUGAGGACACAGGGAACUACGAGUACAGAGUUAACCAAGACUUGACCUCAGCUAAUCUCACACUUAAUGAAGCCACAUGUGUCAACAGCAUGUUGAACCCGCCCCAGCCUGCAAUGCGUCCAGUGUGAGAACAGAGGGGCCUUGAAGAAAAUUACAUUUAACAGAAUUAUUAAAGAGAUUUUUUCAUUUAUUUUGAAAAGGAUUUGUUAAUGCAAAUACUCAUUUUUUCAAUGAAUCAUCCUCUAAGAAAUAUGUG
Molecule: long non-coding RNA, 1847 nt
Filed under: Haliotis rufescens (red abalone)
Lineage: Eukaryota; Metazoa; Mollusca; Gastropoda; Lepetellida; Haliotidae
Description: uncharacterized LOC125383203, transcript variant X1
Source: RNAcentral